RNAcentral lists this ribosomal RNA (254 nucleotides) under uncultured bacterium. RNAcentral describes it as "partial 16S ribosomal RNA". It matches the Rfam family "Bacterial small subunit ribosomal RNA", at positions 524 to 776 of the family's 1533-position model. The record is from RNAcentral.
UACGUAGGGGGCGAGCGUUGUCCGGAUUUAUUGGGCGUAAAGAGCUCGUAGGCGGUUCGAUAAGUCGGACGUGAAAUCUCCACGCUCAACGUGGAGGGGCCGUCCGAUACUGUCGUGACUCGAGUCCGGUAGGGGAGUGUGGAAUUCCCGGUGUAGCGGUGAAAUGCGCAGAGAUCGGGAGGAACACCCGUAGCGAAGGCGGCACUCUGGGCCGGUACUGACGCUGAGGAGCGAAAGCGUGGGGAGCAAACAGG